UCGGGAAUUUUGGGCAAUGGGCGAAAGCCUGACCCAGCAACGCCGCGUGAAGGAUGAAGUAUUUCGGUAUGUAAACUUCGAAAGAAUAGGAAGAAUAAAUGACGGUACUAUUUAUAAGGUCCGGCUAACUACGCGCCAGCAGCCGCGGUAAUACGUAGGGACCAAGCGUUGUUCGGAUUUACUGGGCGUAAAGGGCGCGUAGGCGGCAAUUCAAGUCAUCUGUGAAAUCUCCGGGCUUAACUCGGAACGGUCAGAUGAUACUGCUUUGCUAGAGUGCAGAAGGGGCAAUCGGAAUUCUUGGUGUAGCGGUGAAAUGCGUAGAUAUCAAGAGGAACACCUGAGGUGAAGACGGGUUGCUGGGCUGACACUGACGCUGAGGCGCGAAAGCCAGGGGAGCAAACGGGAUUAGAUACCCCCGUAGUCCCUGAGCGGGCUGGCAAGGCGCAU
RNAcentral lists this ribosomal RNA (447 nucleotides) under uncultured bacterium. RNAcentral describes it as "bacterial SSU rRNA". It matches the Rfam family "Bacterial small subunit ribosomal RNA", at positions 355 to 825 of the family's 1533-position model. The record is from RNAcentral.